ACCCGAAAGGGAAUCCGGUUAAUAUUCCGGAACCCGGACACGGAGAUCGGUCCAGUUUUCCGCAUUCGUGCCCCUGUGGUGCGUCUGUUGGGGGCUGGUCCCAAAGCGGUAACGCAAACGAACUCAGAGACGUCGGCGAGGGCCCCGGGRAGAGUUGUCUUUUCUUCUUAAGGGUCGAAAUUUUCCCUGGAAUCGGUUCGCCCGGAGAUAGGGAUGUAGUACCCGUAGAGCACUGCGGCUCUUGCAGUGUCCGGUGCGCUCUUGUCGGCCCUUGAAAAUCUGAGGGAGUGGUUAUGAUUUUCGUGCCGGGCCGUACCCAUAUCCGCAGCAGGUCUCCA
This 338-nucleotide ribosomal RNA is filed under the name Polyxenus lagurus (bristly millipede). RNAcentral's name for it is "eukaryotic LSU rRNA". It matches the Rfam family "Eukaryotic large subunit ribosomal RNA", at positions 1592 to 1870 of the family's 3401-position model. The record is from RNAcentral. Lineage: Eukaryota; Metazoa; Arthropoda; Diplopoda; Polyxenida; Polyxenidae.